CCUACGGGAGGCUGCAGUGAGGAAUAUUGGUCAAUGGGCGCGAGCCUGAACCAGCAAAGUCGCGUGAAGGAUGACUGCCCUACGGUUUGUAACCUUCUUUUAUAGAGGAGUAAAGUGAGCCACGUGUGCCUUUUUGUCUGUACUUUAUGAAUAAGGAUCGGCUAACUCAGUGCCAGCAGCCGCGGUAAUACGGAGGUUCCGAGCGUUAUCCGGAUUUAUUGGGUUUAAAGGGAGCGUAGAUGGGUUGUUAAGUCAGUUGUGAAAGUUUGCGGCUCAACCGUAAAAUUGCAAUUGAUACUGGCAGUCUUGAGUACAGUUGAGGUAGGCGGAAUUCGUGGUGUAGCGGUGAAAUGCUUAGAUAUCACGAAGAACUCCGAUUGCGAAGGCAGAUUACUAAACUGCCACUGACAUUGAUGCGCGAAAGUGUGGGGAGCAAACAGGAUUAGAUACCCCAGUAGUC
This 460-nucleotide ribosomal RNA is filed under the name uncultured bacterium. RNAcentral describes it as "partial 16S ribosomal RNA". It matches the Rfam family "Bacterial small subunit ribosomal RNA", at positions 338 to 795 of the family's 1533-position model. The record is from RNAcentral.